CGGAUGCACUUCUUGAAAUUCCCAAUCUCUUCAAAAUUCCUGGGAAAAUUACGAGGAAGAUGAGGGUGGGGGUGGGGAGCCAUGGCCGAGAGAGACUUCAUCUUGUCAAGCAAACUACCUUUUUGUAUAUCUGAUUUCUGUUUGUUUGGUUUUUUUUUUUUCUUAAGAUUUUUUUCCCCUUUUCUCUUUUGAGUUAUAUCUGCUCCUGCUGGCCAGAUCUCAGCAGGGGAAACUGGAACUUCUGAAUAUGAAGAAAGGAAUUAUUGUGCAUUUUUUUCCCCUCACAGGUUCAGAAAUAUCCGUUCAUUCUUUAACCUCACAGAUGUGUCUAUUUUGGGAGGAAGGAGGAAACAUGUAGACGCCUAGGCUGCAUUUAUGCUGUAGUUACAAACACUGAAGAAGAUCUGGCCGAAUUUUGCAAAGCAGCCAACAUCCAUCUGAGAUCCUGCAAAUGCAAGUGAAAAGACCCUUCCUCUCACUU
Molecule: long non-coding RNA, 481 nt
Filed under: Rattus norvegicus (Norway rat)
Lineage: Eukaryota; Metazoa; Chordata; Mammalia; Rodentia; Muridae
Description: long non-coding RNA NONRATT013159
Source: RNAcentral